GUGCUCACUUCAGCAGCACAUAUACUAAAACUGGAAUGUUACAGAGAAGAUUAGCAUAGACCCUGCACAAUGAUGACAUGCAAAUUUGUGAAGCAUUCCAUAUUUUC
Small nuclear RNA from Zalophus californianus (California sea lion), 107 nucleotides. The record is from Ensembl. NCBI's taxonomy places the organism in Eukaryota, Metazoa, Chordata, Mammalia, Carnivora, Otariidae.